Long non-coding RNA from Herpailurus yagouaroundi (jaguarundi), 2689 nucleotides. RefSeq lists it as uncharacterized. NCBI's taxonomy places the organism in Eukaryota, Metazoa, Chordata, Mammalia, Carnivora, Felidae. The record is from RefSeq and is a predicted model, not a curated record. The transcript is spliced from 2 exons.
AAACAGUGUAAAUAACUAUACCAAUAUUAAGAGUCUCCAAAUUUUAUAAGAGUCAGAUAGUAAAUAUUUUAGGCUUUGCAGUUCUUACAGUCUGUCACAACUACUCAGCUCUGCUAUUGUAGGGCACAAGCAGCAUGGGCAAUAUGUAAAUGAAUGAGUAUGGCUAUGUUCUACUAAAACUGUUUACAAAAACAGAUGGUGAGCCAGAUUUGCACCCCCCCCCCCCGGCUAUUAUUUUUCGACAACUGCUAGUCUGUACUACUGUCCAUAAAAGGGAGUUCUAUUGUCAGAGAUUUCAUGGUCUAAACACAGCCCCCCCCUUUUUAAAAACAGUGAAAAAUACCUCAGUAUGAGUUAACAGUGAAGUCAUAAGGUUAUGUUUCCCGAAAUUGAUAGACUUUCUUAUUGUAGAAGAGAAUGGUUUUUAUAUGCCACAGUUUAACAUAUAACUUUAAUGCUUACCAUACUUUUUAAUAUGAUAAUGCUUACCAUACUUUUUAAUACUGAAAAUUAAAGGUUUGGUCCCACCAAACAUUUAGAUGAAUUACACUAAACGGUCAGUAAUAAUUAGGAUAUAUUGACUUCUGUAUUACUCAUUUGGAAAAUCAUAGUGCAUUUUAGUAUAUGUAAAACCUGUGAAGAUUCUUCUGUACAGAAACUGUUCAUCAUUAUUUAUCCCUGUCCAUGCAUUUCUCAAAAUGAAUCACACAACUCUUCACAUAACACUUAAUGCUGUCUCUAGAACUAUUCAGAAGACAGUAUUCUGAUAAUAUCUAGUUUAGGUAAGGAAAUUAAAGAGCCAGAAAACUUUCACUGACAUGUGAUCAGAGAUAGUGCAGUUACUUGGCAGUAAUUCUGGAAGAAGUACUUGUACCUCUUCCUCUGGAUUUCGAGGAGUCUUGUUUUUCUCUUUCUUUUUACUCUUUUUUUUUUUUUAAGCUAUUAUUGGGAAAUAAUUUCAAGUUUACAAAAAAGUUGUAAGAGUAGUACACCCAUACAUACCAAUUGUUAACAUUUUGCCCAAUUUGCUUUAUUGUUUGCUUUUUCGUAUGCUAUCAUGUGUUGUAUGUGUUUGUAUAACACAUGCACAUACAUAAUAUAUUUUUCCAAACCAUGUGAGACCAAAUUGUCUACGUCAUGGUCCUUUAUUCCUAAAUAUUUCAGUGGGUAUUUAAUCUUUUAUGAUACAGAUAGUUUUUGAAGAUUACAGUCUCUUUAAUUUUUUUUUAUUUUUAACAGAGGAUCCCAUUUUGAGUUUGAUGUUUUCUCAAUUAGAUUCAGGUUUUGCACUCCCAGGUAGAAUAUUACAUAAAGGAUGUCAUAUUCUCAUGGUAUCACAUCUGGAGGCACGUAUACCUAUCUGUCUCUCAUUGAUAAUGUUAGUUUUGAUCACCUAGUCAAGGUGUGGACCAGUCUCUCCACUGUAUAGUUACAUCUUGCAUCUAAUAAGCGAUCUAAUAAGCAACUGCAUCUAAUAAGCAAUCUGAGGGGAAUCUACAUCUUUUGGGGAAUUAAUAUAAUGAAGUUGUUAAGAGUUCAUACUAGAGUCACAGCUGGGUUUGAAUCCAGCUAAUUGAAUGAACUUAGGCAAGUUUACUGAUACGUGAAAUAGGGAUGAUAGUUGCCACAUCUUUUUCUGUGUGUGUAUAUAACAUACAUUGUUAUGAGCUUUAAAUGAAAUAAGAUAUACCAAGGCCUGGCAUGUAAUAAAUGUUCAGUACAUGUUGGCUAUUACUAUUUUAGUUCUGGAAAGAUGAAUUAAUAGACACAGUAAUAAAUUCUAAGGCUUUAUACCCAAAGUUAUAAAGGAUUUCAUGAAGUUGUUUCUUCUGAGUAGAUUAAUAUUUUAUCUGGGGCACCUAGGUGGCUCAGUCAGUUGAGUGUCCAGCUGUUAGCUCAGGUCUUAGUCUUAAAGGUCGUGAGUUCAAGCCCCACAUUGGGCAUCACGCUGGGCGUGAGCCUACUUUAAAAAAAAGAUUAAUAUUUUAUCCAAGAUGAAUGACUUUUUAAAAAUAUCUUAUUAUUGAGCUUGUUCUAAUUCUUGGUAUUCUUCCCUACCUAUUGUGCUCUGUCCCUUCUGGUAUGUGUGAGGCAGGUAGUUUAAGGGUGAAACCCCUAUCAGGAAGUUUUUUUCUGAAUUCUUACUUGCUUAGUUUUCAAUUUCAUGAAGAUUUUAAUUGAAUUUUUAUGAAAUAGACAUUUUAAAAAUCACCUGUACCUAUUUUCUAUUCUACCACUAUGAAAGUGUCAUAUAAUAGCUGUAAGAGACUUUCUGAAAGAGGUAGAUAUCCUAGUAGAAUUAUAAGGAGUAGAGAGAGGUUUAAAUGGACUUAAAGACAGGGAAUAUCACAUAGGUAUCACUAACAAGUUCUUUUAGGUGUUCCCUGUGGUUGGAGUGUGAAAAUCGGUAAAAAGUAAUAAAGUGUUAGACUGGAAGAAUUAGCUAGAGCUAGAUCAUGAAGGACCCUGUUCGCCAUGCCAAGAAGUUUGAAUUUCCUCAUGAAGGCAGUAGACAGCCAAGGGUUAAAUGUCAGAGUGAUGGGAUCUAACUUUUAGAAAGGCCCCUGGCAGUAGCGUUAGAAGGGAAUUAGAGGAUAGUGAUACUAGAAGUAAGAAGGCUAGUUGCUGCCUGAACUGUAACAAUAGGAUUAAAAAAAAACUGAAUAAUUUCUAGACAUAAAAUGAAUGA